AGCCCCGGGCGGGAGGCUCCCCACUGCCUGCUACUCCCAGAUCAGAAACAGCUUCCCUAGGGCAGCAGCAAGAGACCAGCCGCCCCAGUGCAGGGUCACGCCUCCACUGCAGCCCAGAGACUGGGGUGCUGGGAAUCACAUGUGAUAUAAAGUCACCUGAGGCCAAGGGCUUCUAAGUCCAGCCACUCAGAGAGAUGUACUCAAGGUCAUCUUGCUGGGUGGCAACUGAGCCCUGUUGGACUCCAAGCUCAGAGUGCCUUCUGUCUGACCCCAACUCAACUCUCCUCUCCUGUCCUCCCCUCCCCUCCCUUCCCCUCCUCUUCCCUCCCCUCCUCUCCCCUCCCUUCCUAGGAGGUGCCUUCUCCACAGUCUAGUGCCCCCAGAUGAGUCCCCUGCCUAAUGGAGUAGAUGGGGAUGAGGGCAAACCAUGUGUCUUGGAACUCCAAGAGCUCCACCAAAAGUCAUGCUGCCCAAGGCCCUAACCCUGUUACAUCAGCCUGUAGGAACUUUGAAUCCUGGUUAGUGAAAUCUCCAGUGCACUCCAGCCCCCUACCAACACUCUUCCAUUUCCACAUCUUGCUCCUGUUCUUCACUGGGUCACCUCCUCUGCUAGAGCCUUCCCAGUUGAGCUCAAUCUGCAUGUAGCUUCAGCCUCUCCUGGAGUCUGAAGUACUUGAUUCCAUCUCCUGUUUAGGUAUUCAUAGUUACCUAU
RNAcentral lists this long non-coding RNA (712 nucleotides) under Marmota monax (woodchuck). The record is from RNAcentral. Lineage: Eukaryota; Metazoa; Chordata; Mammalia; Rodentia; Sciuridae.